AAGAACCAAAAAGAGAAGAAAAAAAGAAGAAUGGGACAUUGCCAGCAGUUAGUAGUACACUGCCGGCAUGUCCUGAAACCUCAUUGGUGGGAAUUGUGCCACUGACGGAGGAAACUGUGUCCCCUCCCAUUAUGAUGAAGGAUGAAUUUUGUGAUCUUCUUUCAUAAGGGAGGAGCUGUACAGAGCUUUGUGAAGAAGCUAGAGGGCUGGAGG
Long non-coding RNA from Octopus sinensis (East Asian common octopus), 213 nucleotides. RefSeq lists it as uncharacterized. The transcript has 3 exons. NCBI's taxonomy places the organism in Eukaryota, Metazoa, Mollusca, Cephalopoda, Octopoda, Octopodidae. The record is from RefSeq and is a predicted model, not a curated record.